Long non-coding RNA from Dermacentor albipictus, 3094 nucleotides. RefSeq lists it as uncharacterized. The record is from RefSeq and is a predicted model, not a curated record. NCBI's taxonomy places the organism in Eukaryota, Metazoa, Arthropoda, Arachnida, Ixodida, Ixodidae.
GUUCAUUGCCACGUUCAUUGCAUCCCAGUACAACAAAGCGAAACACCUCCACGGGCCUCUUUUCGCUCGUCACCGUUUACAGUGUAGCGUGAGCCCGUUCUCAGGUCUGAUAUUUCUGGCAGAAGCUACAAAGGCGCCUGUUCCUGCAGCGAGCGUCGGCAUAACCGAGCGAACGAGUACAACAGUGAAGGACAAAAGAGCAACGCGGGGCGCUGCUCGGAAUGAAAGGCGGCGAUAGUGAAGACUGCACGUAAAGGAAAUCGGAGGAGGAGGGUGCAGCGGAACCAUGAGGCGGAAAGCAUGAGAAGAAAAGCGCAGUGCUGCGCAAGACGUGUUCUGCGACUAUGGCUACAAGAUGGCACCGGAGUACUGCGCAUCGUCUGUUCACUCCUUUAUCUUUCUUCGGACACUGCUAUUCACAGGCUAACAAAUGUUAAACGUUAUCCCUCGACGCACGACGCGCCUGCAUGUAUCAGAUGUUUCUCGAAUGUUAUCAAUAGUUCUAUCUGCUGGCUGUUGUUACCAAAGCGUUUUGUAAUCUGAUUGUAUGCAGAACACAUAAUGUGUUGUACUUUCCGGAAGCCACGCGGGCACCAGCGAUUACACUGGAUCCUUCGACGACACUUGUACAAAAGCCGCCGUGCUUUACCCACAGAUCAGAUUUUCGACGAUUGCCGACUCCACUCACCACUAUCAUUAUGUUUGAGUGUGACUUGUUUUGCUGGGUACAAGUUCGCCCAGUAAAGAGUUAAAUUUGUAACUCACAGUUUCAACACUUUGUCGUUCUUCACCGUCACUACCUCAUGACAAUAUAAUCAUAAUAGAAAAUAGUGUCAGCCAGUUCUUUCUGAACAGUGAGCGAUGCUAAACGAGCUGGUCGAGCAGAGGCUCAAGCACCACCACCGAGAGGACCGGGUAGUUCAGAAUCAAAUUCUUUGCCACAAUAUAUUGCAAAUUCAAGAUAUCUAAACAGCUGCACUCAAAAGUUGCAUUAGGGAGUAUAGCAAUCGUUGGUGAACUUUUUUAGCUAGAACCCAGCAAAAGUUUCAGUCCCAUCAGUUGGUUACCAUUGAUUAACACCUGUGUGCCAAUGUAUGAAAUGUAAAUAGAUGCACAUGUGAUUUAUUUGUUCUUGUAUGCGUAAUACAACAUAUAGUGCAAGACUUUCUCAUGCACGUUUGAGCACAGAAAGCAAACAGUCAAAAGGGGUAGGCCAGAGGCCAAAAUGGAGAGCAGAAAAAAUGCACUGCAUUUGUCAGUCCCUACAUGCAGGGACAGAUACAGCAAUCUACAUACACAAGCUCUUCAUACUGAAGGUAGACAGCUUUACGCUGCUAGGUAGUUACGGCAUUCUCUAGCUAAUACUACUGGUACAGGCAACACACAAAGCAAUAACUCCCAGCACACAGUCAGAGAUGUGGUAACUCGUAUAACAGCAAUUGUUAACUCCUGUAGCAACAUGUCAAGUGUCCUAUGUCAGCUUAUAUCGUUAAGACACCACAGCAGGACCAAAUGGAGAUCGCCACUUAACUUGUCCUGCAUCAACCAAACCCAGCUUGUAGCUGCAGAUUUUCUAAUAUCGCUUCGUCUAAUUCUCUGCCAUCCUCCACUCUGCUGCUCUAUCCUCGGCAACUAUAUGAGUACACUGACUGGCCACGUACCAACCCUGCUUCUAAUGUCAAUGCCAUUUACCCAUUUAUGAACUCUAAUCUACAGUGCCAUCUUUCUGUCUCAAUCUUGUUACAAAUAUCACUGGUAUCACUUUGUGUUCCACUGAGCGUUAUGAUGAUCACUGAUGAUUAAGUCCUUAGAUUUUUGUUGAUUUUUUAAAAUUCUCCAAUGACUCAUGACUUUUAGAAUGGCAUCCCACAUCGCAAGAUAUACUAAACAGCAUUUAAGCCUCACUUAAAUGUGAUGUAUAUAAGAUGGCACCAUUGUUCAGACUACUUUGUGCAGAGUCUUUAUAAAUGAUCAAAAAGAAAUGUGGGAACAUGCUUCACUCUCACUCAGAAUACACCCAUAAUGCGAAAUGGGAAAGCCCAUAGGCAACACUAUGACAGGACAUCAACUCUUUGAAACAAAGGCAUUUCGAUUAUUAUUUUUCAAAUGUAAACUAGGUAAACCAAAAUGCAGCUUGUUAAUGGUAGUGGAUGGUGUUAGAAUGCAGUGAAUGCAGACUGCUUGAAUGCGGCAACUGGCACACUUUCAGAACAAUGUUGAAUUAAUUACACUAAUUCAUAGACAUUUAGUUUUUUUCUUAAGAAUUAGGAAUCAGCUUCAGUAAAGAUCCUGACCUGUUGCUGGACAAUUAGUACAGUAAUUUACAGUACAAUUAGUAAUUCACUGUACUAUGAGUGUGCUUAAGAAACACACACACUCUCAUGAAGUCACCUCCUGCGCAACACCUGAGGAUAUUAUGAAGCUGUUCAAUGUAUCAAAAGUUGCUUUGCUAUAAAUAUCUAACUGCAUAUUGUGGGGUUUUGAGUGCUUCUAAUAGUUGCGCAACAAAGCUACGCUCCCGAGAAAUUCAUGUCCUUCACCUUCCUGUCUGGACAUAAAAUGCUGUCACUCAGCUGUCAUUCCCACCCACAGGAGGUCAAACUAGAUGUCCCAGUGGCAGAGUUUCUGGCGGGACUCAGGCCCUUGUGUGUGGCCCAAGACAGGGUCUCAGGAGACCACAUCCAGGUGUCGGAAGGUGCGUAUGUGUUCCUCCCUGCUGGCAGUGGUCCCUUUGUGCACUGCUGGCUGAUGGUCACUUCGGUUCGUCAGGGUCCCAGUCUCGGUGGGCGUGUGCACACUCCCGUGGUCUCAAUAUCCUGAGGCAGCACUUUCCAAUCGUGCCUCUGUCUGUUCCCCUCUUUGUAUCUCUUUCUACUUUCUCUGCUGUGGGGUGCGUAAUGGCAGGCAUUGGCCUAAGGUUAGGUGGCCUCUCUACACUGAGUGCUCUGGUCUUUUUCUCUGUCGCGGUGCGCCAUUAUCAGCCAGCGGCAGUCAUGUGGCCAUGUUGUAUAGCAAUUAGAUUUUGAUUCGGUUGCGUCAUUAACUUGUGUUGUAUCAAAACUCAGCCUAAUAAAUGUCCUGUUUUCUGCCUGGA